AAACUUUAAAAAAGCUUUUCCUCAACAUUUUGCCGCAACAUUUCAACGAGCCGGAAAGUAAAUAAACGGCAGACAGAAAUGAGGCAGGUCGAAUUGUCUUGCGUUUCACGCAUGUGCAGUACUGGAACGUAAGCGUUUUCAGCCGUUUCAAUGUGGAUGCACAACUCUGUGAAAACGACUGAAAAUGAUAGCAUGGACGCGGAGCGUUUUCAGAUGAAAACGCCAUUUUCAAAUUUAUCCGGGCUAGUGCAGGCGUAGCCUAACAGUGGGAAGAAGGCACGGCACGGGAGUCGGGAACACACUGGGGAUUUAUUAUUGUAGUGUAUAAUUUGCUUCACUUUAAAUAAAUGCAUUGCUUUCAUCGCACAAAGUCCAACAUUUUGUUCCUAUUUCCUCGCAUCCCCACAGUCUGCCAGCGCAGCCCUGACAAAGGGAAGGAAAAACUCCCUUUUAACAGGAAGAAACCUCCAGGAGAACCAGGCUCGGGGAGGAGCAACUAGCUACUACGACUGGUUGGGCUUCCUCAUCACACCACUGUUCCACACUAUAACUGAACUCGCCUUUCGGAUACUGGUCACAGCUCUCACUGGAUUCACGCUCCAAUCUCCAGGAAGGAAAUCCUCACCACGCUCACCAACAUCCCCUCCUGCCACCAUAGUUCACAGGGAGCCCUAAUAUUUAGGUCCGCUCAUCUACUCUGCACCCCACUCGCCACUCGGACCUUUGCCUCCCCCUCCAAGCCUAAUUCUCCACCUGCAAAGCAAGCCACGCAGAAACCUCAUUACAGCUAUUUUCCCUGGACAAAUCCAUGAACUAAUCCCCUUUUCCUCUCUCCUCAGUGUGACCUCUAGAUUACCACGCCACCAGCGACACCCUGAGCUCCACAUUCUUAGGCCACCAUGCUAG
Molecule: long non-coding RNA, 906 nt
Organism: Astatotilapia calliptera (eastern happy)
Lineage: Eukaryota; Metazoa; Chordata; Actinopteri; Cichliformes; Cichlidae
Source: Ensembl